UACGGGGGGAGCAAGCGUUGUUCGGAUUUACUGGGCGUAAAGGGCGCGUAGGCGGUCGUGACAAGUCACUUGUGAAAUCUCCGGGCCUAACUCGGAACGGUCAAGUGAUACUGUCGGACUAGAGUACAGAAGGGGCAACUGGAAUUCUCGGUGUAGCGGUGAAAUGCGUAGAUAUCUGGAGGAACACCGGUGGCGAAGGCGGCAUCCUGGACCAAUAUUGACGCUGAGGAGCGAAAGCUAGGGGAGCAAACGGG
This 254-nucleotide ribosomal RNA is filed under the name uncultured bacterium. RNAcentral describes it as "partial 16S ribosomal RNA". It matches the Rfam family "Bacterial small subunit ribosomal RNA", at positions 524 to 776 of the family's 1533-position model. The record is from RNAcentral.